UAAAAAUAAAUAAAUAAAUAACUUAUAAAAGCACAAAAUAAACAAAUGAUCCAUCCCUAACAUAUGAUAAGCAUAAUUUUCAUAAAUUUGGAGGAAAAAAGGAACUUUAAUUCUGUGAAAAGAAUUUUGAACUGGUAAAAUUACUGAGAGAACACUAUAUAUUUAAAUCAGGCAAAAUGUGAUGUUCCAUAUAACUCACAACAUUCCAAUUUUUCCGCAAUUAUGUGGUUCUCCAGCCUUUUAAGAAAAAUGCAUUUAAACUAUUGACACUCAGUGGAAGCAGGGGAAGUAACUAUGGAAUCUCAAAACUAUCCCUGUUUCCCUCUUUGUAACUAUUAUGAUUCAAGAAUAGGACUGUUGGAAUAUCACUUGUCGGAACAAGUCCCACAUUGGUAGUGUACAAGAAAAUUACGGGGCAUAUAAAUGCGGCAAACCAAACCAAAAUGGCUUGGACUAUUUUGGUGAUGGGGAGCCCAAUUCAACAUGUAGCCUACUAGUUUGACAUUCACACUAUUGGGUCCAUAAUUCUCAACAUGG
Molecule: unclassified non-coding RNA, 537 nt
Filed under: Hevea brasiliensis (rubber tree)
Lineage: Eukaryota; Viridiplantae; Streptophyta; Magnoliopsida; Malpighiales; Euphorbiaceae
Source: RNAcentral